This 13839-nucleotide long non-coding RNA is filed under the name Vitis vinifera (wine grape). Its description in RNAcentral is "long non-coding RNA (VVIN_LNC002606)". The record is from RNAcentral. Lineage: Eukaryota; Viridiplantae; Streptophyta; Magnoliopsida; Vitales; Vitaceae.
UCACGACCUGAUCCAUCAUCACAUAAUUAUUCGUAGGAAUUUCAUAUUCUAAUCUUAUCAAUGAAGGACUUGCUGUCUAGUCCCUUACUGUAGAAGUUGUCGUCGUAUUCUUGCUUUGUAAAGUUGCGAUAAAUUGCAGGUUUUUCAGGAGACAGCAACUCUGGUAGAGGUCCAUAAGAGUCGGACUCUUUCCAUUUCGCUAAACUGAAGAACAUCACAAUCGAGAUCCGUGGCUCUUUACAGGGGUUGGCUAUCACUCGAUGUUGUAUACUAUUGUACUCACCGUUCGACACUAUCUGCCAUGGUCCCAUACGAUCACCAGUUAGAAAUUAAAAACACAAACAAAUAUGAAUAAUGAUCAUGAGUUACCUGGAGAAAGUCGCCAGCGUUGAUAAUCAACCCACCAGGAACAGGCUUUACAUCCACCCAUUCAUCCCCAUGCCUCACCUGCAACCCAGGGACAUGGUUCUGCAACAAAACCGUCAGAACCGUCGGAUCCGUGUGAGAUGCAAGCCCCAUCGUCAGAUCAGGCUGUGGACAGUGGGGAUAGCAUACCCCCACAAAAAGCCUAGUAUCAGAAAAUGUCAACUCCUUAAACUUGCCGGGUUCUAACCCUAAUCCUUCGGAUAGCAAUUCCAUCAGAGUCUCAGCAACCUUUUUUGCAUGCGUGUCCCAUGCAAUCACCUCCCUCCUGCAUAUCUCCGGCAUCCGCUCAACCUCCGGCGGCUGUGGUGCCAUCCACACCUGAAGAUAGUCAUGCCAAGUCGCCGCCUCCGAUCGGUACAAAUCGUUGUUGCUGGUGUACACCACCCCGCGUCUCUCCUCACCCACGGAGAUCUUCGCCUUCACUUGAUGUGGCUGGUCGUGGAAAGACUUGACAGCGUUGACCGUCUCCUCCAGUACGGACAGGGCUACGCCGUGGUUGAUCACUUGAAAGAAACCCCAUGUCUUAGAGGCCUCUCGAAUUUGGUCCACGAUCUUGGGACGGUGAUGGGGAGAGUCCAAGUUGGAAAGAUCUAUUACCGGGAUGUGGAUGGAGGAGAAGGAAGAGGAAGAUGUGGGUUUGAGUUGGGAGAGAGUUUGGGGUGGGUGUAUGAAGAUACGAGGGAUGGAAGUGAUGCCAGAGUCAGAGAGACCUUUGACGCCUAUCUUGGACUCAGAGAACUCCUUCACUUCCUUCAUUCGGUCGUAAUCGGCGGAUGCCAUAGUCUUCAGUUUGGAUCUAUCUGCCUGCUGCCUACGGCCCUCACCAGAGUCACCACUCGAUCGCUUCUACACUUUUACCUCACUUAUGCACUACUUAGCCUUCAAUGUAGCCUAUUCUUAAACCUUCACAAUCUAUAUUUAUUAUAUUAAAUAUCGUAUUGUUUGAAUUAAUUUGUAUGGAAAAUUAUUAUUUAAAAUAAAUUGAUAAAGCAGAAAUAAUGUAGUUGACGACGUUGACAGAUGGACAAUUGUUCAACCAAUUGUCUGGAAAAUUAUUAUUUAAAAUAAAAGAAAUAAAUAGAUAAACCAGAAAAAAUGUAGUGGACGAUGUCGACAGAUCAGAUAAUUGUUCAGCCACUUUGAACUGGAGUCCCAGUCAUGCGACAUCUCAGCGGCUCCAAAUUCAAAACACCUACCUUAUCCACACGCGUUGCAGGUUUCUUCUUGUAGACACACCAAUGAUUUGACAAGUCUCCGCCAUUGCCCGUCAGCUAAUCAGUGAUGAAAUAACUUAAAAAGUUUAUCAAAAUGCUUAAAAACUUGGCUAUUAUAAUGGGUUAUGCCUACGCAUUAUCCUCUUAAUUUUUUUAUGCUUAUAUUGAAUGUAUAGGUAAUAAUUUCCUUUCAUAUUUAGCAGUACAUGUUUAUUUAAAUUGAUGACUUGUUCCAAAGUUUAGAAGCAAUAUAAUAAUAGAGUAAGGUUGAUCAUCAUUACAAUUUCACGAAGAAAUAUUCAAACUAUGAAGAUCGUGUGACUAAAAUAAAAUUAAUAUAAAAAUGAUGAAAUCAAUUUUUCAUUUUUAAAAAAAAUAAAUUAAGUUAUGCUAAAAAUAUUGUAAAAUGAAUUUUAUGUAUAUAAUUUUUUUUUAUUAAAGGGGCUACCUAUUCACCCCUCCAAAUAGUUAUAUAACUUGAGAUCACACCAAUCCUUAACAAUAAAUCAUUUUUAAUAAAAUAUGAAGGCCAAUAUUAUAAUAAAAUAAUAAAAUAUAUUUUUAUUAAAAAAAUUAUUUUAAUAUAUAUAUAUAUAAGUGAUAUUAAGGAGUAAAAGUGAAAAAUAUUAUUUAAAUAAUUUUUAUUUUUCUUUCUUUAUCUUUUAUCCUUUAUUGGAUAACGAAAAAUAAAAACAAAAUAAACAUUGUACAAUUAAAUUGAAAAUAUAAAUUCUUACUUUUGUUGAAUUUAUAAAAGUUGGAGAAUGAGAGAGUUUGUUCUUCUCUUAUGAUUUUUAUGAUUCUUUCCUUUUGAUGUCUCUCUUUAUUUCAUACCUCCCUUUUUAUACAAAAACUCUUUAUAAGAUGACAAUAAAAAUAUCAAUGUACGAGGCUUCUCAUAAGAUAUUAAAUGGGGCACGAUUAUUUUUUCAUAAAGGAAGUGAGGCAAUGGGAUUUGUAUGUUUAUGUGCAUAAUUUGACAUGGUGUAUGUAUUUACUUGCAUAGCACAAAUAUAUUUAUGAGUAUACUCUCUGUUUUUUUUUUCUCUCUAUUUUUUCUUUAUAUUUUCUUCUUUUGAUAUGAUUAAUUUUUUACAAAACUACUUUAAUAUGAUAGAUCAUUUAUAUCCACUUUAGAUUUUAUAGUUGAGAUUAUAGUUAUUGCUUUGAAGUCAUUCUAUUACAUUUUGUAAGUUCUGAUACCUUUCUUCGUCAAAGUUGUCUGAAAAGUACUCUACAUCAUCACUAAGAUAAAAAGAUUGAUUCUAGCUUUCUUCGUUUAAGUCAUUUCCCACUUCAGUUCUUAUUAAAGAACUAAUGGCUCUUUAUUAUGUUUUAUAUACAUACAAUGGAAAGUUGGUACCACUAACCCAUUGGUUUGAAAUAAAAGUAAAUGUUUUGAAAAGAAAUAUCAAGUUAUCAACUUGUUUUUCAGUUUUAAGUAGAUAGGUUAAAAUAUUUAUAAAUUUUUGAGGAAAAUUUUUAAGGAUUUGAGAUACUUGAUGAAAAUAUUUUUUAUAGAAUUUCCUAAUCGAUAAGCUAAGGUAAGAGAAAUAUUUUCUCUAAGGAAAUGAAAAAUAAAUUUUUAUUUGUUGCAGCAAGAUAAAAGAGAAAACAUAAAAUAGAAAACACUAAUUUUUUUUGUGCAAAGACCAAAUUUAUUUUAGAAAUUAAUAUAUUAAAGUAAAAAAUUUAAAACAUCACUUCACAUCAAGGUAAAUCCCUCUUUUUGGCUAAACUAAAGUCUCUCUAAACAAGUCAAUUUUUGAAAGAACAAAAAAAAAAAAAAAAAAAACCAAUGGUCAUAGGGUUAAAACUAAAAACUUUAGUUUUAAAAAUAAUUUUAAUAUUAUAAAAUCUACUAGAAUUUGAUAUUUGUUUAUAGCUCUUAAUUUUUUACGUUGAAUAUAUAACUAUUAUAUAUAUAUAACAUACUGUAAACCUCAAAAUUUGUCCCAAUUUGAUCUUUACAUUAAUUUUGAGUUCAAUUUUAAAUAUCGAUUACAUGUGUUAUUUUAGAUCCACCCUUUAAUUUUUAGUUUUCAUUAUUUUAUAAAUUAUUUUUUUAUUUAUUAAUUUUAUUUGUUAUCAUUAUUAUUAUUUUUAUUUUUUUUUCUUAUCUCUCUUCUUUUCUCCUCCAUCUACCCUCACCCACCCACUUCUUCUCUCUCCUCCCAUACUCCUCACCACCAGCCACUUUUCAUUUCUCCCUCAAAUUUUUUUCCCUCCCACUCUUCUCUCUCUUCCCCAAGACUUCCUUUCACCGGCCCCCCCUCCCUCCAUUUUUUCCCCUCAUUUUUUUCUCUCCUCUCUUCUCUCUCCUCCGACCUCUCUCCUCCAAUUGGGAAGACAACCAACCCCCGGAAUUUUUUUUGGGAGAGCUCCCAGGCUUUUCUCCAUUUUUUUCCCUUCCCUCACCGUUCACUGGAUCUCCGCAUUUCCUCCCUCCCAUUUUUUUUUUUCUCUUCUCUCCCCCAUCGGCACACUCGGGUGAUCCCCCGACUUUUUUUUUUCAUUUAUUUAUUUACUAUUAUUAUUAUUUUCUCUUUCCCUCCUUGAACUCUCACACUGCCGGCGGCGUGACGCCAGUGCCUUUUCCGGCACCCCCUUCAUCCCCAUUUUCUCCCAUUUUAUUUAUUUAUUUAUUUAUUUUAUUUUUAUUCUAUAUUUUUUUUAUUUCCAAAAAGCUAUCCACUGCCGCCGGCAAGGUCACCGGCCGGUCACCGCGGGCGAGUCCCCUGGGCCUGCGACCUCCUCCCUUUUUCUCUUUCUCUCACUUCCCCGUAUCACUCAUUUUCCAUUAUUAUUAUUAUUAUUAUUAUUAUUAUUAUUAUUGUUAUUUUAUCUUAUUUUAAUAAUAAUAGUUGUUUGUGAAAUUUGGAUUGUUGAAUUAAUUUGAAAUUUGUAAAUUUGGGUUUAUGGGCAUAUUGCAUGAUUAAUUUGGGAUAUUUGGAUUAUAUCACUUGCAUAUUGUUUACUUGGAUUUGGGCCUAUUGUUAAGUUGUUAAUUGUUUGAACUUAUUGGAUUGAGCUUGAAAUAUUAUUUCACAUAACCAUGUAUAUUUUAUGUGGACUUGUUAAUUGAUGUGAAUUUUGGGAUCCAUAAUGUGGGUGAGAUUUGUUAGAUUAUUUGAAUAUUUGUUAUGGGUUUGAUCAUCGUGAAUUAUUUAAUUUGGACAUGAAACAAUUGUGGUGUAUAUUAAAUUAAGCUUGCAUUAUGGAAUAUUAAAUUUAAGACUAGUAGAAUUUAUUUUAAUUUAUCCAAUUUUAGAUUUGGUUGAUUGUGUUUGUAUUUUUAGUUAUUAAUUUGGAUGUUCUGGGUUAAAACCUAUAGUAAUUUGGGCUUAUUUUAAUUGGCAAAAUUUAUGGGACUAAUUUGAAAUUGGAAUUUGGGUUUGAAUAUUUGUUUGAGGUUUUGUACAUCUUUGGAUAUUUACAUUUAUGUUAUUCUUGUUUUUGCAUGGACCUACUCUACAACCUUGUUGGCCGAGUACAAAUUGAUCACACGUGGAGUUUAUUGUAAGUUUAUUUGAGUACAUAUUUUAUUUCCUACUUUUAUUUGAUUUUAUUUUUAUUAGUUCUUGUAAAUAUUUGUUCGUAUAUAUUUAUUGAGUAUGCGAGAAUUGAACAUUGAACAAACUAGAAUUUUUUUUAAAUGAGAGGACAAAGUUGUUUUAAUAAAACAAUAAUUUUAAAAUAUUAUUUUAAUAAAAAAAAGUUUAUAUAUAAAAAUUCAAAAAAAUGCAUUUAGAAAAAUCCAAAAGAAAUGUUUUUAAUGGAAUUUGAAAAUUUGUUUUUAAAUAAUAUUCGUCUAAAAAUUUCUUUGUUUAAUAAAAAUUGUCAAAAUAUUGUUUUGUAAAUAAAGUUGUCCCAAAAUUUAAUUUUUAAUAAAAUUGUCUAAAAAUAUUUUUUUCAAAUGAAUUCUUUUUCUUUAAUUAAAAUGGGAUCAAAAGUGAUAGAUGAUUUAAAUCUUUGUUUUUUUUUCUUUUUUUAAUUAAAAUUUCUUUUGCAAUAAAGUUAUGUCAUUUUAAAUAAUUUGUAAAAAUCACUUUUUUUAAAUGAAAAUGAAUUUAAAUACUUUUGUAAAUAAAAUUGUAAAAAUUCAUUAUUUUUUAGUAAAAAUAAUUUUUGUGUCCAAAUUGAAAUUUUGUAAUAAAUUAUUUUGAUACAAUAAGUGUAAAUAGUUUUUUUUUAAAAAUUAAAUACAAAUGAAAUUGAGAAAAUAAACUGAUUUUUUUUUGUAAGUAAAUAAAUUGCAAUCAUUAAUUCAAAAUCAUUUUUAAUAAAAUCCUUUGAAAUUUCUUUAAAACUUUUUAUUUAAUUUAAUAAAUCAUUUUGCAUAAUUCUCUUAUCAUUUAUUUUGUAUAUUCUUGUAAUUAGAUUUCAUCAUCAUUUUUGUGUAUAUUAAUUUUCACCCUGACUUGUACAUUGAUUAUUUUUCUUGGUAUCCAUAAUUAAUUAAUUAAUUGUCAUAAUUUCUUCAAUUCGUUUAGUAGAGACCGUAUGUAUACAGGUUUAGGGGGGUGUUACGGUUCAUCACCGUACCUUUCCAAUAAGUAACUUGACCCUCGAACCCAACUUCGGUUUUUCACGGACCUGUUUUUUUUCCUUUAGGAGUCAAAUUUAGAGUUUUUCUUUUUUAUUUUGUUUUUCCCUUAAAAAAUAAAACAAAAAAAAGUGGGACUCCAAGUCUUUUUUUAAAAAUCAAAUUUUCACCAAAUAAAUAGAAAGCGAUUAUCGCCAUCAAGUGGGAAUGCAUUGAGAAAAAAUACGAGGUCCACACAUACUUUUUUAUUUAAAUUGAUGUCAUGUUCCAAAGUUUAGAAGUAUUAUAUUAAUAGAGUAAAAUUGAGCAUUACAAUUUCACAAAGGAAUAUUGAAACUAUGAAGAUUGUGUGAUUAAAAUAAAAAUAAUAUAAAAUAUUAAUAUAAAAAAUUAUAAAAUCAAUUUUUUAUUUAAAAGGAAAAUAAAUAAAGUUAAUCUAAAAAUAUUAUAAAAUGAAUUAAAUUUUUUGAAAUAAUUUUCAUAUAUAAUCACUUUUUAUUAAAGGGGACUAUCUAGUCACCUCUCUAGAUAGUUCAAUAAAAUAAUUUUCAUAUAUAUAUAUAUAUAUAUAUAUAUGAAAAUAAUUAUGUUUAGUCACGUUAUAUUUAAAAUGAAUAUAAAAGUAAGCAAAAUUUAUUUAUUUUUUAAUUGUAAAUGAUUAAAAAAAAUUAUAUGUAUAUAUUUAAUACUCAAUUAAGAAUAGAAUAUUUUAAACUAAUUUUGAUUUAAUUUUAAUUUUUAAAAUUUCAAAUUAUUCUUAGAAAUUGAUAAAUUUAUUGAAAAAUAUAAAAUCAUGAAGCUUAUUUUGCUCUCAUUUGAUUUAGAAUUUAUUUGUUGGUGAUAACAUUUGAAAAAAAAAAUGGCCAGGUAGAAGAAAUGGUAGAGUCCAUAAUUCAAUUUAGAUUAGUUGUAUUAUUGAUUCUAUUUUUGAGUUACAAAUUAUUUUUAAAAAUUACUAAUCUCAUUAAUAUAUUCAAAUAUAGCUUCAUUUGGAGAUAUUUUUGGAAUAAGAAAAUUCAUAAAAAGUAUAGUUACGUGUAGAUCAUUCUAUAUUAGUUUUAGCAUGUGAGUUUUAAUUAGUGUUGAUUGAACUUUUUGUUUUUAAUACUUUUUAAAUUUUAAAAUUGGAAAAGUGGCGUACAGUGCGCAUAUGGCCAUACAAUAUGCAGUGGAAAUUAAUGGCCAUGACGUAGGACGGCAGGAGGAGGAGGCACCAUUGGCACAAGGAAAGGGCCAGAGGCUUUUGGAAUCUCGGCACUGGGCUUUAUGAAUAACGUACUCUCAUUUUACAACUUUUUUUUGUUUUGUUUUUUUUUGUUUUUUUUAAAAAAAGAUUAUAUUUAAAAGUAAAGUCAUAAUUUUAAUAUUGUAAAAUUUAUUAAACUUAAAGUAAGUUAAGAAAAAAAAAUUCAAAAGAUAAGUACUUUUAUGUUCUUUUAAGUCCUAAAUUCUUUUAAGAAAAUUAUCUAAAUAUCUUUGCCAACAACGGGUCAUCUGGAAACCAACAACAUUUUCACAUAAUGGACUCUGCACUUCAAAGUCAGACAAUAGUUUCAGAUUUAAUUAGAAUAAAGGGAGAAUUGUGUUUUAGGCUCAGUUGGAUUCAAAAAUUAACAUUUGGUCUAUAUAACUUCCAUAAUUGAUGAAAAUGAUAUAAGAUGUUAAAAGACCAAUAUAUUCUUCAAAUUUCUAUACAUUACUUUUUAAGGAUAUAAAAUACUGAUGAACUAAAAUACCUAAUGAUCUUUUACAUAAGCUUUUUUUGUCUUUAUUGUACCACUAUUCAUGCAACCAUAAUAAUUCUAUUUUAACAAUUUGGAUUUUUCAUUAUUUUUAAUUUUUUUUAAUAAAUAAUUGAAAAUCAACAUUAUUUUCUAUUUUAAAUUAUAAAUAAAGAAAAAUUAUGUUCAAAAACUAUUUAAAAAAAUACUUUCUAAAAAAUAGUAAUAUGAUUUAUAUUUUUUAUAUUUUCUUUUUUUUAAAACAUUUAAUUAAAAAAUGAAAACUAUUUUUAAAAAUAAAAAUUGAAAACCUUGUUUAGUAUUAUUUUUUAUAUGAAAAUAAUAAAAAGAAUUAAAUUUAAUUAAUUGAUUAUCCAUUUUUAUUUUUUUCCAUUAGUUAUUUUAAUAAUAAAAAAAAUAUAGUAUGUUUACAAUUAAACAAAGAAAUUGAUCAAUUAUGUGUUUUUUGUGGGACUACUUUUACAUAAAAAAUAAUUAAAUAACUAAAUUAUAUAUAUUUAUUACUCUUUUUAAUUUUAUUUUCUUUAUUUAUUUUUUGUCUAAUAAAUUUUUUUCAUAUAUCCAUAAUUAACAAAAUAAUAAAUCAAUUGUGCACAUUUUAAUCUAUUAAAAUAAAUUAUUUCUAAUUUAAAUAAAUAAAAUGAAAUAAGUAAAUAAAUUUUGAGUUAUUUCUAUUUUUUAACAUAUCUUAUAUCAACAUUUUUAAUGAUUAAAUAAAUUUUUUAUUUUUUAUUUCUUUAAUUCCAAAAAUAAAAUGAAAUAAAUAAAUAAAUUUGGAAUUUUCUAACUGAUCUUAUAUUCAUAUUUCUCAUGGUUAAAUAAAUUUUUUAAUCUUUUUUCUUUAUUUUCAAAAAUAAAAGGAAAUAAAUAAAUAAACUUGGCUUAAAUAAUAGUUUUUAAGUAAUUUCUUUGUCUUAUUUUUAAUUACAUUUUGCAUUGAAAAUAAAAUAAAAUAACGUUUUAUUUGAGUCACUGUACAAGGUAUUUAAACUAAGUGUACAUUACAAAUAUACUAACUGUACAAGGGUAUACAAGACUAUUAUUUGUAAAAGAUUUUAAGUGAUUCUGAAAAACUUGUUUGUUUAUUUCUCCUAACCGAAGAUAAAUGACAUUUCUUACACACAUUGGUUAAGCAUACAUUCAUCUCAUACACUUUAUCUAACUUGUAUAUGGUCAUUUGAAUAAGCACCUCACUUAUGAUGAUUGUAAAACAAAAUUAUACAACAAUUUUUCUUCUUUUUUAAAACCAAACCAAUGCAAACAUGGUUAACCGAUCUAUUGUCAAAUAUUCAUGAGAUGAUGUAUGAAAUUUGAGUUAUUGUACAAGGGUAUUACACUAACUGUACAAAGACAAAUUUACUAAUUAUACAAGGGUGUACAAUACUACUUUUUGUUAAGGAUUUCAAGUGAUUUUGAAAAACUUUCCCAUUUUUUUCCACUCAAAUAUUUUUUCCCCACUCAAGAAUUGUUUCGAAUUUUAUUUUUAAAUUUCAUCAUCAAAUUUUUGCAAUUGCAUAUUUUGUUUUUGUAGUUUUAGCAAUGUUAUUUCUUUCUACUAUUUUUUUUUUUUUUUUUGUGAAAUUUUAUCCAAAUGAAUCUAUAUUUAAAAUUAUAAUCAUAUUUAUCAAAUUUUUUACUAAGAUUAUCUUUAAUUCUUUUAAUAUAUUUAUACUCAUUUAUUUAAAAAAUGAAAAACUAAUUUUUUUUUCUAAAUAUGUUCUAUUACCUUUCAAGUAAAAAAAAUUAGAUAAGUUUGAAAGUCAAUAAAAAAAAUUAAAUACCACUUUCAAUAAUUUUUAGAUAAAAAUUUAUAUUAAAUAUUUUAUUUGAAAUUUAAUUUCUAAAGUUUUACUAAAAAAUUGUACUGACAAUUUUCUUGUUAUGAAUCAAAAUAUUUUGCAUUAGUCUAUCUAGAUAAGAAAAAUUAUUAAUAUAAUGUUAGAGAAAAAUAUAAAUGAAAGGGUAAUAUAAAUUUAAAAUAAAAAUUUAAAAAUUAAACUAAAAGAUAAAUACAAAAAGAUAAAAAAUAUUUGGAUGAAAAAUCUCAAAAUUUUUAUCAUUGCUUAUAAUAAGAGCAAAAAGAUUCAAUAUCUUUAAAAAUGAAAAACAAAAAAACAUUAUUGCUUUUUAUUUGAUAUAAAAUAGAAAUAUAGAUUGGAAGAAAAAAAAAAGUUAGAAAUGAGUAAUACUUAAAAAGGAAUAGAAAAGGGAAAAAAACAUAAAAAAAAAAAUUGAAAUUCACACUCACUUAUACCUAUGUAAGAGUUAAGGGUAUUUUAGGGAUUAAUGAAGGAUAAUAUCCUUCAUCUUAAUUUUUAUACUUUGUUUGGGUCUUGGACUUAAACAUGCAUGAUAUAUGAACCAAAUGUUAAUUUUUGGGUCCAGUUGGGCCCAAAACACAAUUUUUCCUAGAAUAAAAGGGUUUGGAUUGAAGUGUGGGUUCGAGUUCAGUUUUCCUUCUAGCUAAGACGUCACUUCAAUCCGUAGUUUAAAGUAUAAUGUAAUUUUCCUUUUUUUUUUUUGUCUUUUGCUUUAGUGGCUGACAGUGGUGGAGGCAAGGAGUGCCUAGAGAGGGCAUUUGGCAAAUUCCUGCUAAAAAUACAAUAGGUUGUCGGAAUUAAACCCAUAAUCUUAAGUUUUCUAAUAAUUAGUUUCCUUAUCAUUAAAUUAUAUUAGAAGUAUGAUGCUAUUAUUAUGGGACCCUUUAAGCAAGGUCGUCCAUCAUUCAUUCGCACUUGCAACUGUAUAGUGGAAAUACAUUUGCGAUCGUCUGCCUGAAGGGUCCUGAGGCCCUGUGGAUGACCCAUCUAUCCCAGAACUAAAAUGAAGAUAAACGAUCCUUAAACGGAAAUAACACAAAUGGUAUUUGACUAACCUUCAUGCAUUUACUCACCUUCAAACGUAGAUUGUGUACAAAACACUUUCCAUAAUUAUGCAUUAGUAGUCAAUGCUGUAAUAUUGCAUAAUCAAGAAUAAUUAAAUUGUUAUUAAUACGUCUUAAAAGGCGUUAUGAGUAAGGAUAAAUAGUUAUGCAUACGCACAAUCCAAGAAAGGUAUGUUAUUUUUUUCUUUCGAUAAACAGUAUUUACUUGCUCAAGCCAAUUACUGACUUAAAUCUAUUCAGACAUUCUUUUUGUGCAACCAUCUGCAUCUUGAGCAACUUAGAUGGAGAAACAUAGUUGAUCGUUCCAUGUAGCCCUUGAGAGCUAGACGGCCACCUCGAAUUGGACCGUGCACCAACAAUUAUGCCCCUAAAAUAAGUUUCAUAUAAUUCCCCUCCACCACUUUCUUGGCUUGUGGGCAGAGCCAAAGAGUAGCUAGAGGCUUGCGCCCUGAAAUUUUAUUAAAAACCUUUGUGGUUAGUGGGCGGAGCCAAGGUACUCCUCCCGAAAUUUUGUUUUAUUAAAAACCUUUUUGGUUGGUGGACGGAGCAAGGUACUCCUCCCGAAAUUUUAAAAAUAUAGUAGGUAGUGGGAAAACCACUUUUCUGGCUACGCCCCUAGUAACAGACGUGGUUUAAAGCAUAAUUUUACAAGACAAAGAAAAACGCAUCCCAUAGUUGGAGACGAUCUCCAAGCUCAUAAAUUUUUUUUUCCACAAUUACAAUGUGAAAACCCACAUGACAGCAAGACCAAAUCUAUUACCACAUAAUGAUAGUAAUUUUAUAUUGUAAUCUUAUCGAUGAAGGACUUGCUGUCUAGUCCCUUGCAAUAGAAGUUGUCGUUGUAUUCUUUCUGUGUCAAAUUGCUAUAAAUUGCAGGUUUUUCAGGAGAAAGCAACUCUGGUAGAGGUCCAUAAGAGUCAGAGUCUUUCCAUUUCGCUAAGUUGAAGAACAUCACAAUCGAGAUCCGUGGCUCUUUACAGGGGUUGGCUAUCACUCGAUUUUAUUUAUAUCUCAUUAUUAUAUAAAAUAAGGUUUGUUCUCUUUGAAGAGAAAAGUUUAGAAAUGACAAACUAAAACUUCAUUCCACUGCAUCACAAUAAAUCAAAAUAUACUUCUGAUUUAUUUUUCUUGAUGAUUUAAAAUUAUCUUGAUUCUAAGUUAAAAUAUAUGAUUUUGAUUUUAGGUUAUAAUAUACGGCCCUCACCAGAGUCACCACUCGAUCGCUUCUACACUUUUACCUCACUUAUGCACUACUUAGCCUUCAAUGUAGCCUAUUCUUAAACCUUCACAAUCUAUAUUUAUUUUAUUAAAUAUCGUAUUGUUUGAAUUAAUUUGUAUGGAAAUUUAUUAUUUAAAAUAAAAGAAAAAAUUGUGGUUGACGAUGUUGACAGAUCUGAAUAUUGUUCAAUCACUUUGAACUGGAGUCCCCGUCAUGCGACAUCUCACCGGCUCCAAAUUAAAAACACCCUACCUUAUCCGCAUGCGUUGCAGGUUUCUUCCACCUAUAGAUGUUCUUCUAGACACUCCAAUGAUCUGACAAAUCUCCAACAUUGCCCGUGAGCUAAUCAGUGAUGAAGUAACAUAAAAAGUUCAUAAAAAGGCAGGUUUCUUCCACCUAUAGAUGUUCUUCUAGACACUCCAAUUUGAUUUGACAAAUCUCCAACAUUGCCCGUGAGCUAAUCAAUGAUGAAAUAGCUUAAAAAGUUUAUAAAAAUGCUCAAAACACCUUUGUUGGGAAAUUAUUACAUUGUGUCCACAUAGCUUGAUUAAUUGUAAAUGAUUAACUAUAAUUUAAGUGAUUAGAUAAGUUUUCAUUUAUUUAUUUAUUCUGCACAUGCAUCUCAUUAAGUGUGAUGAUUAGAUAAGUUUUUAUUUAUUUAUUUAUUCGGCUUACACAUGCAUCUUAUUAAGUAUGUGUUUUAAUAUAUAAAGAUCACCUUAUUUUAUUUUAUUUUAUUUUUAUGAUAAAUCAAAAAUAAAAUAAAAAAAUAUGAAUAAGUUGAAAUCUUCGGCCUAAACAGAUAAAAGAUUUUAUUUAUAUCUCAUUAUUAUAUAAAAUAAGGUUUUUUCUCUUUGAAGAGAAAAGUUUAGAAAUGACAAACUAAAACUUCGCAUCACAAUAAAUCAAAAUAUUAUAAUAAAAUAAUACUUUUUUUUUCUUCUCUUUUCUUUCUUUCUAUGUUUUCCUUCUCUAUUUUCUUUUUUUUUUUUGACAUUUUCUUUCAAUUUUUUGAAACAAAAAAAAAUGAAAGAAAAAUUUUAAAAUAAUAAAUUAUUAGUAUUUGUUAUUUCAAAUUUAUUUAAUUACUUUAAUUUUUUAUAAAAUAAAAUAAAAUGAAAAAUUAUUAACUAAUUUGAACUAUAUUUGAUUUUUUUUAUGAUAAAAUAAAAGAUUGGAAAAAACAGCUUUCUUAACAUUAUUUUUUAGUACAUUUUGGAAACCAAAAGUAGCCUUAAUUUUCUCUGCUGGCUCAACCAAUUGCUAAUUUCUUUGAGGAAGAGGAUUAGCCCUGAAAGAAUAGCUAGCCAUGAUCCCACCCUUUGAAAUAUGGCCAACGAAAUACCUAUAAAUAGAGAUAAAUGGUAGAGUGAAGCCCAUAAUUAUUUUUCCAAUAAGCAAGUACAGACAGAAUGAGCAAUCCCAUUAAUUCACGGAGCCUAAAUACUUACUCCACUCAUAAAAUAUUACAUAUAAAGAUGGUAAUCACGACCUGAUCCAUCAUCACACAAUUAUUUGUAGGAAUUUCAUAUUGUAAUCUUAUCGAUGAAGGACUUGCUGUCUAGUCCCUUGCUAUAGAAGUUGUCGUUGUAUUCUUUCUGUGUAAAGUUGCUAUAAAUUGCAGGUUUUUCAGGAGACAGCAACUCUGGUAGAGGUCCAUAAGAGUUAGAGUCUUUCCAUUUCGCUAAGUUGAAGAACAUCACAAUCGAGAUCCGUGGCUCUUUACAGGAAUUGGCUAACACUCGAUGCUGAACACUUUUGUACUCACCAUUCGACACUAUCUGCCAUACAAGUAACAAGUCAAAAAA